AGCAUUGGUAUCAACACAGAUUCAUGUCGAAAGAGCCAAUGCUAGGCUGAAAGACUUCAAAAUUUUAGGUGUCAUUCCUUUGUAUUUGCACUGCUAUGCUGACAUUUUGU
Xenia sp. Carnegie-2017 is the source of this 110-nucleotide long non-coding RNA. RefSeq lists it as uncharacterized. The record is from RefSeq and is a predicted model, not a curated record. Lineage: Eukaryota; Metazoa; Cnidaria; Anthozoa; Malacalcyonacea; Xeniidae. The transcript is spliced from 3 exons.